UAAAUUCGGCCACUAAAAUAGUUGAAUUCUAGUUUUUAAUACUGUUAUUUAGUGGAGUAGACCACAUUAUUUAGCUUUACCUUAAAAAGAUGAAAUAAACAAAAAUAAAAACUCUGUAAUUAGAACUCAGUUCUCUGAAAAUUCCAUCUCUCCUUCUCAAAACCUUGAAAACCCUAGACCUUAUCUCUCAAACCCGUAAGAUCCCUAAAUCUUCAUCUCUCAAGAUUUCAUUUUUUCGAUUUCUUCUUAUAUUGUUAGAGAGACAUGGGUAGCCGUUGGAUGGAGUACUGAUGUUCUUCCUUCUGCAAAGUUGUUGAAUAUUGCAUUGUUCUUAAAUCAGAUACAAGUUUGUGGGCUGAUUUUUGAGUAUGUCAAAAAUUAUCCUUUUAUAUGUAUUCUAUAAUGGUUUAUCUAGUUAUUCCAUAUUGUUUGGGUCAAUUCUUCUCCAAAAGUUAUAACAAAUCUAGCUAGGGCUUGAGCUCCAGAUAUAUUUUGGGAUUCUCGAUAAACUAUGUCCAAUAAAGUAAAUUUCUUAUCAUUAUUGGCGACGAGGUAGUGAUUUCAUUCCAAGAUAAUUUUUUAUGGAUUUACAUUGUGAUUACAAAUUUUUGUUUUUUGAUUGUUAAACUAAAACGUUUUUCUUUGUUUGCUUGCUUUAUUAUUUUUCGCUUUUAAUGUCAAUGUAUAAAUAUUCAUAUGAGUUGUGACAUAUUAUCACAGAAAUGUCUUACUGAAUUCAAAUGUAACGAUAAAGAUAUUUUGUCAUGAAUUUGAAUUUUAAAUGUAAAUUGCAUCAGUUUAUGACAUGAUAAUUUUGGAAGGGUCUAUGGGGGAUAUUUGUUACUUCUUGCGCUAUUAAAUGUGAUGGUCACAUGUAAUGCGAGAAGAAAAUAGAAGAAUAUUAGACGGUUUAUGUUGUGAAAGAAGGGUGUUAAUAAUUAGUUUAGGAGUUUUGAACUUCAAAACUUGUACCAGGAAUGAGAUUAUUUUUCAGUGGUUAUAAAAGGAUGUAGCACAGUAGUUAAAAUUUAUCAUGUUCAUUUGAUUGUUUGUAUAUCUAAGUAGUUGAGUAAUCAAUAGAGUUAGAGGCUCCCUUAUUGAGUUAUGGUUUCUUUUCUUUUUCCAUAGAAAUAAUGUACUAUGUUUUGUUCUAAUUUUGAGCUUAUGUUUGAUCAGUGGAUUAAGAUAUUCUUUGUGUUUGGCCAUGAUACUCCCUUUGAGUUAACUUGUACCUAUUUUCACAUCUUAGAUUUGAUAUUUGCAUUAUCCCAGCACUUUUACAAGCUUCAAUCCAUUGAGAUGUAUAAUAUUCUUGUGAAGCCAAUCUCAUUGGUGCAAAGUUAUGUAGAAAUUCUUAGUUUCACUAUUCUUUGUUUGGCGUAUCUCUAGUUAUUUUUCUUAUCUGCUAAUGAAAUCAUGAUCUUGGUUGUUAAUAUAUUUUUUUCGAUGUCAGUUGCUACAUUUCAGGAUUAGCUAUUGUUAUCCUUUAUCUUAUUUGACUUUUUUGACUUCUUGGAGAAUAAUAGGAGCAAAAAUAUGAGUAUGCAGUUAAUUUAGGUUGAGCAACUGUACCCUUUUUCCAAAGUAAUAUCAUUAAACUGGAAAAUACUAUUAUUUGUCAUGACUUGAGUGACAUUCAAAUUUGUGAACAAACUAUAUCCCCCGGUUAUCAUAAAUAAGUAGUUGAAAAGUGAAGUAUUUGAGCAGUGCUAGAAAAGAAAUACUUUUUUUUGUUUGAGUUGCUAUGUCAUUGUUUAGAAUGUCUUGAUUUCAUUUACAUUAUUCUCUAUGCAAGGAAAUUACUUCCUUGAAUGUUAUGAAUGGGCAGCUUUAAAAGAUAGUAAAACAUGCAACUAAUUCUGAUGUCCUUAAGAUGGUCUAGCUGAAAAUAUUGUGACCAACAUAUUAGUUGAACUACUAGAAUUCCCUACUACCUUAUUUCAUUUGAGCACAAUGAAGUAUGCUAUCCAAAUGGUUAGUUAUUGGAAAUGCUUUCGUGCACAGUAGCAUAUUUUAUUUUUAUUUAUUUCCUAGUUGUAUAGGCUAAUAUGGUGUUAAUAUGUGCAGGUACAAGUGAAGGUCCAAGUAUAUUCAAACAGCAAGAUUUUGAACACAAAGUGCAGAGAAUUUUCACCUUAAUGAAAUAUAUGAAAAAUACCUUUAACAAAAAAUUUCCUCGAAUAAUAGAGUCCAUAUGAAGAUGCUACACUAGGAGAAAUUUUGUUCCCUUAGAGGCUGUACAGAGUUUAACCAUUGCACCAAGAGGUACUAAGAUGAAAUAUUAGGAUAUAGUUUGAAUAUUAAUGUAGUUCAAGACUAGCAGCUUGAUGGUUUUUAGCUUUAAUUUGUUGUAGUUAUGCACUAUUUUAGACUUUGCUGUAGAGAUGCAAUCUCCAUUGAGUUCAGCUUCUUGACGUACUCAGUUUUAACAACAGUUGAGACUAAUUAAUACCGUGUGAAGUUCUCAGGGCGAAGUGGAUGCAGAAAUGAAGAUUUGUUGAAUAUGAAGAUAUUUUACCAAGGCAGUUUCAUAGUAGAAAAAAAGGCUUAGCAGAGGGGAUUCAAACCACAACAAAAACAUCGGCCUCUUACACUAGACAUUAUUCCUGCAGACAAAAGCUAAUACAACAUUUAUCCAAUUAUGUUCCUUACUGCUACAAAACUAAGUUAUUUCUUUACGAUUGUUGGUUGAUCUAAUUUUUGCCUUUAAAGUAAUAUUUUUAACUUAUUAUAUUAGUUUAAUUACUCACUUUGGAAUGUAUUAAAUAUACUAGUAUAGCGAGGAUAUUUAGAUGGUUGUACUAUGUAAAGUUCAUAUUCAGAAAUAUGUUGGAGGUAAGGUAUAUGUCCCCCUCCUUGUAUUUGACAUGUUAAUGAAAUCUACAUCAAGGUCUCAAUGAUUUAACCUUGAUGUGUAUAUAUCAAAUCUUGAUGUUACUG
This 2940-nucleotide long non-coding RNA is filed under the name Nicotiana tabacum (common tobacco). Its description in RNAcentral is "long non-coding RNA (NTAB_LNC005877)". Lineage: Eukaryota; Viridiplantae; Streptophyta; Magnoliopsida; Solanales; Solanaceae. The record is from RNAcentral.